GACGAACGCUGGCGGCGUGCCUAAUACAUGCAAGUAGAACGCACAGUUUAUACCGUAGCUUGCUACACCAUAGACUGUGAGUUGCGAACGGGUGAGUAACGCGUAGGUAACCUGCCUGGUAGCGGGGGAUAACUAUUGGAAACGAUAGCUAAUACCGCAUAAUAUUAAUUAUUGCAUGAUAAUUAAUUGAAAGGUGCAAUUGCACCACUACCAGAUGGACCUGCGUUGUAUUAGCUAGUAGGUGAGGUAACGGCUCACCUAGGCGACGAUACAUAGCCGACCUGAGAGGGUGAUCGGCCACACUGGGACUGAGACACGGCCCAGACUCCUACGGGAGGCAGCAGUAGGGAAUCUUCGGCAAUGGACGAAAGUCUGACCGAGAAACGCCGCGUGAGUGAAGAAGGUUUUCGGAUCGUAAAGCUCUGUUGUAAGAGAAGAACGGGUGUGAGAGUGGAAAGUUCACACUGUGACGGUAACUUACCAGAAAGGGACGGCUAACUACGUG
This 505-nucleotide ribosomal RNA is filed under the name uncultured bacterium. RNAcentral's name for it is "partial 16S ribosomal RNA". It matches the Rfam family "Bacterial small subunit ribosomal RNA", at positions 28 to 507 of the family's 1533-position model. The record is from RNAcentral.